Molecule: ribosomal RNA, 279 nt
Filed under: uncultured bacterium
Lineage: Bacteria
Description: partial 16S ribosomal RNA
Rfam family: Bacterial small subunit ribosomal RNA
Source: RNAcentral
UGCCAGCAGCCGCGGUAAUACGGAGGGUGCAAGCGUUGUUCGGAAUUACUGGGCGUAAAGGGCGCGUAGGCGGACUAUCAAGUCAGGGGUGAAAGGCCUGGGCUCAACCUGGGAACUGCCUUUGAAACUGAUAGUCUUGAGUCCGGGAGAGGAUGGCGGAAUUCCCAGUGUAGAGGUGAAAUUCGUAGAUAUUGGGAAGAACACCGGUUGCGAAGGCGGCCAUCUGGACCGGCACUGACGCUGAGGCGCGAAAGCGUGGGGAGCAAACAGGAUUAGAUA